Molecule: transfer RNA, 57 nt
Filed under: Oxyrrhis marina
Lineage: Eukaryota; Dinophyceae; Oxyrrhinales; Oxyrrhinaceae
Source: RNAcentral
GUGGCCUGGCGAUUAAGACACCAGGCUAGUAACCUGGAGGACGCAGGUUCGAGCCCG